AGCUAAAAUCUGUUACACUAGUAGAGAAAUUGCAAUACUUAUGUAAAUCAAUAAUUGCAACGUAUAUAACACCAUAAAUUCAUAGCAUGCCUAGAGAGUUACUAGCUGCAACAUACGUGUUUGGCAUGUUUAGCCUGUCAAGCAACCUAUACAAUGUAACUCAUUUGCAUACAUACCUAGGUAUAGCUUCAAUUUUGACUCAUUUUUAAUAAAGAUAUAACAAUUCUGGAUUAAAAAAAUUUAAAAAUUAUUAAGAAAACUCUGUUCAAAUAAUCUAAAUUAUGUUGUAAAUAUUUUAGGAAGUUCUUUAGGUCUUCAACAUGGUAACAUUUCUGAGUAAGACUGCAAGCCUCUUAACAGAGCUUUUGCUCCCCCUCUCUGACUCAGAUCUAAAUAUAAAAGGUGCUACUAGAAACUGGAAGUGGGCUCAGUGGUGAUGGUUCUAGGUGACCCUAAGCUCUAGAGUUAGAAAUUGUAUUUUCUCUGUUAAUUUUAGCUCCUGUUUCUGUGUUAGUGUUUAAAGUUAAUCAUACCUUUGUUUCCUGUCUACAUCAUCUAGGGCUUGCAUGGCAAUAGUCAUUAUUGAUUUGUCAAGUAAGUUUUGAGCACCUAUCUUGUUGGGUCAGUGUGAAAAACUGAAAAUACAAUGAUGAACAAGCCAGGAUAUGAUGUCUACUUCAUUAAAACCUAGUCUACUGGGGCCAGAGGAGGAAGGAUGGUCUUGACAAUGGUACCAAUAACACGUCAAUAUAAAUACAGUUGUGAUAAGUGUAGCUGAGAGAAAGUACAGAUGAGCAUAGAUAGCAAUAGAUUUAAUCCAGUUGGAGGAUGAGAGAAGAUUGCCACAAGAAAGUACUUUUUGGCUGAGGUGGGACAAACAAACUCUAUUUGAGGAUAUUUUUUUCAACUAGUCAUUUUCUCUUCUAGUACAUCUAUAUGAUGAAACUUGACUUAACAGAAAUAUAUACAGAAAAUCCUCAUAUCUUUAGAUAUUACAUAACCUACUUCUAAAUAACUGAGUCAAAGAAACAUUACUAGAGAAAUUAGAAUAUAUUUUGAACUUAGUAAAAAAUUAUAGCAUAUCAAAAUUUGUGGGGUGUAGCUAAUUAGGUAUUUACAGGAAAAUUUAAUACAUUAAAUGCUCACAUUGAGAAAGAAGAAAAGAAAAUUGAAAAUAAAGGAAUGAUAUAAUUUAGAAUAGCAAACAAAAACAUGAAAUACCUGAGGAUACAUUUGACAAAAUAUUUGCAAGGCAUGUACACUGAAAACUACAAAAUAUUUCUGAGAGAAAUUAAAAAAACUCAAACUGGGCUUCAUCCUGAUGCCGUCACAAGUUUUGUUAAAUGUCCAAUCUUAUCAGGCUUUCUCAAAGCCAUAAACUUAAGCAUAGCUGACUCUAUUGCUUUUGACAGCAUAAAAUACAUAAAUUGAAAGUUCAUGAAGAAAUAUGAACUCUGAGACCUGUUUUAUUAUUGGGUAUUUUUUAUUACUAUUAACUUUUUGGUAAAUAUAUCUCUCUUUUUCUUAUGUGGUACAAAUCAAGAGAAGUAUCAAAAAU
RNAcentral lists this long non-coding RNA (1558 nucleotides) under Homo sapiens (human). Its description in RNAcentral is "non-protein coding lnc-C15orf41-14:1". Lineage: Eukaryota; Metazoa; Chordata; Mammalia; Primates; Hominidae. The record is from RNAcentral.